RNAcentral lists this long non-coding RNA (636 nucleotides) under Ananas comosus (pineapple). Its description in RNAcentral is "long non-coding RNA (ACOM_LNC016052)". Lineage: Eukaryota; Viridiplantae; Streptophyta; Magnoliopsida; Poales; Bromeliaceae. The record is from RNAcentral.
UUUAAAUAUAAGGAUGGGCAAUAUUCCUAUUGAUAAUGACAUCACUACAGUAAAAACGGUGUAUAGCGGCACUUUUAAAUGUCGAUACAGGUCAAAAAAAGUGUUGCUGGCUAAAUUACUGACACUUUUAAAAAGUGUUGCUAUAUUGGGAUCGCUAGGUAUAUAGAGAUAUUUUAAGAGUGUCGGUAUAAUCUAAAAAAUAUGCUGCUAAUUUAUCAAUACUUAUUUAAAUAUUUAGCAACCGCCGAAACUCUAUCUCGUUGGCUGCUGUGGCGGAGGAGGAGGAGAGCGAAGAGCUCUUCGUCUAGAGUUUCAGUGGAUUGAGUGAGGGGAGAAUGGGAGAUGGUGAUCAAUUUUUUUUUUUUUUCUUUUUUGUUUGUAAUCGGGCCGAAUGGGUUGGAUGGGGUGAGUUGAUUAGAGUAACCUUUUAUUUUUUGUUGGAUUGGGCUUUAUAUUUAGGCUUUGCUAGAUUUUUUUUUAAGUUUUGUCAUAGAUGGGACACUUACACAAAAAGUGUUUCAAACAUGUGUCCUUAUAACUUAAUUCUGUUGUAGUGCAUAUAUCCAUGAUGACUGAUUUCAACUAGAAAGUAGACAACAAAUAUAUUUAAACUCCAAUAGCAAUAGAUAAUUAAUC